AAUCAACGCUGGCGGCGUGCCUCAGACAUGCAAGUCGAACGAUUAAAGCUCUCUUCGGAGAGUGCAUAGAGUGGCGCACGGGUGAGUAACACGUAAGUAAUCUACCUUCGAGUGGGGAAUAACGUCCGGAAACGGGCGCUAAUACCGCAUAAUGCAGCGGCAUCGCAAGAUGACAGUUGUUAAAGGAGCAAUCCGCUUGAAGAGGAGCUUGCGGCAGAUUAGCUAGUUGGUAGGGUAAUGGCCUACCAAGGCUACGAUCUGUAACCGGUCUUAGAGGACGGUCGGUCACACUGACACUGAAUAACGGGUCAGACUCCUACGGGAGGCAGCAGUCGGGAAUUUUGGGCAAUGGGGGAAACCCUGACCCAGCAACGCCGCGUGAAGGAUGAAGUAUUUCGGUAUGUAAACUUCGAAAGAAUAGGAAGAAUUAAUGACGGUACUAUUUAUAAGGUCCGGNUAACUACGUG
Molecule: ribosomal RNA, 467 nt
Filed under: uncultured bacterium
Lineage: Bacteria
Description: bacterial SSU rRNA
Rfam family: Bacterial small subunit ribosomal RNA
Source: RNAcentral